RNAcentral lists this long non-coding RNA (1568 nucleotides) under Equus caballus (horse). RNAcentral describes it as "lncRNA (ENSECAG00000036166.2)". Lineage: Eukaryota; Metazoa; Chordata; Mammalia; Perissodactyla; Equidae. The record is from RNAcentral.
GCAAUCCCAGGAUUCCUGAAUCUCAGAAUUCCUGGGACCACUUCUGGGAUCAGUCAAGAACCAAUCAGAGCAGGGAAUGCAUCUGAGACAAAACAAAUUUCUGGUGUAGUCAUGGAGUAUAGCGUGUGUACUUGACAACUUACUAGCUGUAUGAUCUUUGGAAUGUUGGGUGAUCUGUCCAGGAGUGUUUUCAUUUGUCAAGUGGAGGUGAUAUUAUUUCUCUGCCCUACCACACUCAGCCAAGUGGCCGUGAAUCAUAUAUCUCUCCUCCCACUGCUUGCAGCUGCAGUUCUUUGGAACUUGGAGGACACCAGACAAGCAGCUUAUAAAUGACAGGCAGUGAAGGGCUCUGCUCAGAUAGAAUAACUGCUUGAAUCCAGUCUUUCAUCUGAAAAUUAAAAUGGACAACUCCCAGAAGCUCCUGGGGUUUGGGAAAUUUUGGGGACCAUGGAUAAGCUGAUGAGGCAGAGAUGAGUCAUUCAUAAGAAGAGAAGAAUGGAGAAGAGAAGAGCAAACUGGGAGAGGCAGAGACUGGGGACACUGAGGGAGCCUCCCCUGGGUGUCAGCAUCCACCCCCCAAGAUGCAGAAGGUUCUGCCCUAUUUCCUCAUUUGGGUUCCCUCAGAGCAAAACCAACAAAACAAAACUCUCCCUUUCACUUGAACUGUCUGCAUGGUCUGUCUUCCUUGAAAUCAAAAGAUUCUGGCCUGGGGAAAAAAGAACAUCUCUAAUACACUGCAGAUAAUGGAAAGAAUUUAGAAAAAUAGGAAGAUUCAUAGGAGAAAUCAAGAUCCCCAGUAGAGAAGAAAAAAGGCUGAUGGUAAAAAUUAACUAUAAAAUGGGGAUGAUCUUUCGACCAAUUAUUUCAACAAUCGGGCCAAGGAAAUCCAUGAUAUGAUUUGAAAGAUGAAGUCAUUUCAGCAUGUUCCUGGCACGUGUGACAAAGGAGGCCACCAGAAGCAGAGGAACUUCAGAGUCACUUGAGACUGAGGAAGAUGUGGAGUUUGAACUGAGCCUUGAAGAUUUCAAGAAGCACUGACAGAAGAGGAAGGCAUUCCAAGCCGGGUCUUGUGUGGGGAAGGACGUGGAGGCAGUAGAGAGACAGCGAGUGCUGCUUGGCCUGCAGGGUCCAAGUAGGGAAGUGGCUGGAAAGCUAAGUGAGGACCGGACGGGAAAGUCCUAUAGAGCAGCCUGAGCAGUGCCCAAGCAGCUGAAGGAUUUUGAGCAGGAAGAUGGCAUGAUCAGAGCUGGCACUGGAUGGUUAUUCUGGGGUAAAUGUAGCUAGGGAACUGUAACUCCUUAUUCUUAGGGGCAUGUUAGGGAUGGAAUUUUGGUUCUGAAAUGCACCCCUAUGUCUUAUGUCAUUUCUACCUCGUGGAUGAAGUUUUGAUUUGUAAGUUAUUUUAUACUGUCUUUGGAAAGGAUUGUCUUUGCCAGGGGAUUUAUUUUUAUAUUUCCUGAGCCCUUCCUUCAGAUAGCUUAUAUUUUAGUUGAGAGACAAGACUAGAACACGUGAAAGAACAAUACAAAGCAAAAUGCAAGAUUCAGUUCAGACUAGAAGUUCUUGAG